This 263-nucleotide unclassified non-coding RNA is filed under the name plant metagenome. Its description in RNAcentral is "partial contains small subunit ribosomal RNA, internal transcribed spacer 1, and 5.8S ribosomal RNA". The record is from RNAcentral.
UCUCCGUAGGUGAACCUGCGGAAGGAUCAUUAUUGUAUAACCGAGGGGCGAGGCCCGCUGUUGACUUGACUGGUCGUGCACGCCCGAGUGCCCUGACACACAUCGAUCUCACCCCUAUGUGCACCGUCGGGUGUGUCGCCCUUUGGCUUGUUCGGUGGGGGGCUUACGUUUUCACACAAACUUUGUAUGCAGUGUAGAAUGUAUUUUUUGUUUUUGUACUUACGCAAUCGAUACAACUUUCAACAACGGAUCUCUUGGCUCUC